GGGCGUUUAGCGCAGUGGUAGCGCGUAUGCUUUGCAUUCCAUGACAGAUGGAUGAGUUUAUGUAUAAGGUCCAGGGUUCAAUCCCCUGAACGUCCA
Non-coding RNA from Paramarasmius palmivorus, 96 nucleotides. The record is from the annotation of a GenBank genome assembly. NCBI's taxonomy places the organism in Eukaryota, Fungi, Basidiomycota, Agaricomycetes, Agaricales, Marasmiaceae.